GGAAUAUAACCCUUCUCUUAACUUUUAACUAAAAAAACUAAGAACCGACUCUUAAAUAUCUUAUUUAAGAGCCGGUUCUUAGCUUUUUUUAGUUAAAAGUUAAGAUAUGAGUUCUUAUAUUCC
Non-coding RNA from Brassica napus (rape), 123 nucleotides. The record is from Rfam. Lineage: Eukaryota; Viridiplantae; Streptophyta; Magnoliopsida; Brassicales; Brassicaceae.